AAGUCGUAACAAGGUUUCCGUAGGUGAACCUGCGGAAGGAUCAUUAUUGAUUUUUAAAGAAAAGUAAGCUCAAGUUGUGCUGGCUUGUUCAAAUGAGAGGCAUGUGCAUGCUUUGGGUUUCACUUUUUCUUACAUUCACACCAUGUGCACCUUUUGUAGGUCUUUCGAGAUCUAUGUAUUUUUAUUAUACUCCAAUGUAUGUUCAUAGAAUGUCUUUUAUCUUAUUGCGCAGUUGCUUUUUCUUUUUGAAAAGUGAUUGAUGCAAGUAAGUUGUAAAAACAACUUUCAGCAAUGGAUCUCUUGGCUCUCGCAUCGAUGAAGAA
Molecule: unclassified non-coding RNA, 323 nt
Filed under: Tapinella atrotomentosa
Lineage: Eukaryota; Fungi; Basidiomycota; Agaricomycetes; Boletales; Tapinellaceae
Description: partial internal transcribed spacer region
Rfam family: Eukaryotic small subunit ribosomal RNA (bases 1-46)
Source: RNAcentral